Molecule: long non-coding RNA, 1948 nt
Organism: Papaver somniferum (opium poppy)
Lineage: Eukaryota; Viridiplantae; Streptophyta; Magnoliopsida; Ranunculales; Papaveraceae
Exons: 2
Source: RefSeq, a predicted model, not a curated record
UAUACCUUUCCUUCUUCAACUUUUUUUUCUAAGGAAAAGCAAAACUUCAUCCAUGAAAGUCUCUUCAUCGCUGCUCGAUUAACUAUGAAAUUGAGAAAAAAAAUCCAUGAAAACAUCUGUCUUCUUCGUUCUUCUCGAUUAACUUAACAUAUCACCGAAAAAAAUACAGGAAAAUGAAGAUUUGUUUUCAUCCAUGACAAAGGUGGUAGCUGAUGAACAAGAUAAAACGACGAAACUUCGAAGAGACUUCCCGAGUGCAUCUGAUUAUAUUUUUUGUGAUGCUUACCUCGCACAAAGAAAUUCUGUACUCAGGUAACAUAUGAUCAAUUGAUAAUUUUUUCAAUUUUAGCUUAAUUGAUGGAAUGAAGGAAUUGAUUAUAUAGUCACUCAUGGGUGACCCAAAAUCUGGUGAUACCCAAGUUUCAUAUGAAGAAGAAUCACGACCUAAUGAUUCGUGGAAUGAAUCUCAAGGUGAUUUUUAUUCUCUCAUCAUUUUGUGUUUUUAGAUGUUUGACGGCCUGGUUAGUAAGAUAGGGUGUAUAUUCAUGGAUUUACCUGGACUGAGAUUUUGAUGAAAAUUAGGAAAGGUUUGUUUCUAAGUGUGUCAAUUUUUUCUUUCUCCAGAAUUUGUAUGCGUUGAAUUAACGGGUUUGUCUGUUUUUGCAUAUUAAUGUUUUGAUGUUGGUGAGCUGUGGUGCUGGUCAUGUUGAAGUACACAAAAACAACGAGAGAAUCAGAGAUAGAAUUGUCGAAGGUCAGAAACAUGUUUCAAAUUGUAAUUUGUAUAGUAAUGCUUUUUCAAUACCAAUAUUUAAAGUCAGGGUCUAAUGAUGUGCCAAAUUCUUUGGUUGAGUAUCAGUCCGGGGUAAGUUAAAAUUUUAUGCGCUUGAAGUCUACUUAUAGUUCAUAUGAGUAAGUGGGAUUCAUUUCUUUUAAAGUAUGAGGUCAAGGUUAACGGCAUAGUGUCACUUAAAUGCUUGCUGAUUUUGCAAGCUUUAGGCAAAUAUCCCUUUAGCACUUGCAAACUAUCUAGACGGUCCGAACUGCCAUGAUAAUAGUUUAUAGGAUUGUAAUGUAUAGUCGUAUUUAGCCUCAAGUAAAAGACACAAUACUGUUGAAGUUACACGUUAAGGUACUUUUGGGUUGCAGAAGCAAAGAUACAUCUUAUAGAGGUUUAGCUGUUUGGUACAUGGUACUUAUAGUGCUGCUUUCCUAGGCGGGCUCUUUCGGCUGUCCAAAUUAUCCAAUAAAUUUGUGGGUUUCGGAAAGGCACGGCAGGCGUAUCGCGCGUGCAUCUAGAGACUAAAUUCCAGGUUAUUCAUAGCCAAUGUUUAUCGGAUCAUUUAUCUAACGUUUAUGUUUUUUAAUAUUAUAUCUCCCUUUACUAUCAUAGGGUAUCAGAGACCAAAUUCUAGGCAUCUCCGAGCUGCUAAUGGAGAUGCAACACAUAUGGUAUCAAAGACUUGAGCACACCAAGUAUAUUCAUGUAAUGGCACUGAGGUCAUUGAUCUUUUGCUAUGAUCUCACUGAAUUCCUCGGACGCAGAAACGGUCUUAAAGCUAUGAUCACCACGGUGCAUGCUUUCAGUAAGGCCGGCAUGGAAGCGUCAGGCCUCAUAUUGGAACUGAAAUAUGUGCACAAUUGUCACCAAUUCCUUGAUUUUUGACUCUCGGACAUCGAUUGCUGUGUGUGAUCUCAUAGCUAAAAGCGGCUCAUGUGUAAUGCUACUGUUGGAUACUGUAUAUGAGAAUCCUUAAAAGUUCUUCUGAAUCCAAGCUGCUUUUAACGUGACGACAAUGAAGAAUUCUGAAUGUGGUUUUGGCCGACUUCUAAAAACAUGUCAUAGUUAUCUGAUUGUUAAUUACUUGAUUUAUUCAUACCAACUUAGCCAUUUGUCCAACUAUUUUUACACUGUAUUGGUUAUUGUCUAUAUAUUUCCACUUUUACA